CAGAGUUGAGAGACUCCAAACCAUCGCGAACCUACCACUACGUUGCCUCGGCGGGCAGCUCCAGGGCGGAGCCGCCAGCCCCCCUCGGGGGGGUGCCCGCCGAAGGGCCCCAAACCAUGUCGUAUCUAGGCUGCUCUAAGUACCUGCGAACGCAGUUA
Molecule: unclassified non-coding RNA, 158 nt
Filed under: uncultured fungus
Lineage: Eukaryota; Fungi
Description: sequence contains ITS1, 5.8S rRNA gene
Source: RNAcentral